RNAcentral lists this ribosomal RNA (253 nucleotides) under uncultured bacterium. Its description in RNAcentral is "partial 16S ribosomal RNA". It matches the Rfam family "Bacterial small subunit ribosomal RNA", at positions 524 to 776 of the family's 1533-position model. The record is from RNAcentral.
GACGAACCGUGCGAACGUUGUUCGGAAUCACUGGGCUUAAAGGGCGCGUAGGCGGUCGAUCAAGUCCGGGGUGAAAUCUUUCGGCUUAACCGGAAAAGUGCCUUGGAUACUGAUCGGCUGGAGGGAGAUAGGGGCAGCUGGAACUUCCAGUGGAGCGGUGAAAUGCGUUGAUAUUGGAAGGAACUCCGGUGGCGAAAGCGAGCUGCUGGAUCUCUUCUGACGCUGAGGCGCGAAAGCUAGGGGAGCAAACGGG